CAAACGCGAAAAGUGUUAUGACAUGCAGUCUUUGUGAAGCAACGAAUUUUUGAACGCACCUUGCACCGCGUACCCAACCUCUGGGGACCGGUAUACUUGUUUGAGCAUCACGCAAGCACUCGGUCACCUGAACUGGUCAUCGGAGCUGGGGAACCACUGCUAGCACAAUGGCGGGUGGUGCCCUGAAAGGCAUUGCGGGGACUGGACACACGGCGUACGUGUGCAUGAGCGUCGGGAUAAACUGUCGACGCUUGCGCGCGCACACGCGUGUCCACCACGCUUUUACUCAUUCAUUCAUUCACUGAUCUCAAAUCAAGCAAGAAGACCCGCUGAACUUAA
RNAcentral lists this unclassified non-coding RNA (339 nucleotides) under uncultured fungus. RNAcentral describes it as "sequence contains ITS1". The stretch from base 1 to 110 matches the Rfam family "5.8S ribosomal RNA", at positions 50 to 154 of the family's 154-position model. Lineage: Eukaryota; Fungi. The record is from RNAcentral.